RNAcentral lists this ribosomal RNA (548 nucleotides) under uncultured Bifidobacterium sp. RNAcentral's name for it is "bacterial SSU rRNA". It matches the Rfam family "Bacterial small subunit ribosomal RNA", at positions 147 to 710 of the family's 1533-position model. The record is from RNAcentral. Lineage: Bacteria; Bacillati; Actinomycetota; Actinomycetes; Bifidobacteriales; Bifidobacteriaceae.
CUCCUGGAAACGGGUGGUAAUGCCGGAUGCUCCGCCCCCUCGCAUGGGGGGUCGGGAAGGCUUUUGCGGGAUGGGGUGGGGUCGCGUCCUAUCAGCUUGUUGGCGGGGCGACGGCCCACCAAGGCUUCGACGGGUAGCCGGCCUGAGAGGGCGACCGGCCACAUUGGGACUGAGAUACGGCCCAGACUCCUACGGGAGGCAGCAGUGGGGAAUAUUGCACAAUGGGGGGAACCCUGAUGCAGCGACGCCGCGUGCGGGAUGGAGGCCUUCGGGUCGUGAACCGCUUUUGAUUGGGAGCAAGCGUGAGUGAGUGUACCUUUCGAAUAAGCACCGGCUAACUACGUGCCAGCAGCCGCGGUAAUACGUAGGGUGCAAGCGUUGUCCGGAAUCAUUGGGCGUAAAGGGCUCGUAGGCGGUUCGUCGCGUCCGGUGUGAAAGCCCAUCGCUUAACGGUGGGUCUGCGCCGGGUACGGGCGGGCUUGAGUGCGGCAGGGGAGGCUGGAAUUCCCGGUGUAACGGUGGAAUGUGUAGAUAUCGGGAAGAACACC